CAACUGCUGUUGAGUCAAG
Molecule: small nuclear RNA, 19 nt
Filed under: Arabidopsis thaliana (thale cress)
Lineage: Eukaryota; Viridiplantae; Streptophyta; Magnoliopsida; Brassicales; Brassicaceae
Description: snRNA_14794
Source: RNAcentral